AUGAACGCUGGCGGCGUGCCUAAUACCUGCAAGUCGAGCGAACAGAUGAGGAGCUUGCUCCUCUGACGUUAGCGGCGGACGGGUGAGUAACACGUGGAUAACCUACCUAUAAGACUGGGAUAACUUCGGGAAACCGGAGCUAAUACCGGAUAAUAUAUUGAACCGCAUGGUUCAAUAGUGAAAGACGGUUUUGCUGGCACUUAUAGAUGGAUCCGCGCCGCAUUAGCUAGGUGGUAAGGUAACGGCUUACCAAGGCAACGAUGCGUAGCCGACCUGAGAGGGUGGUCGGCCACACUGGAACUGAGACACGGUCCAGACUCCUACGGGAGGCAGCAGUAGGGAAUCUUCCGCAAUGGGCGAAAGCCUGACGGAGCAACGCCGCGUGAGUGAUGAAGGUCUUCGGAUCGUAAAACUCUGUUAUUAGGGAAGAACAAAUGUGUAAGUAACUAUGCACGUCUUGACGGUACCUAAUCAGAAAGCCACGGCUAACUACGUG
Molecule: ribosomal RNA, 496 nt
Filed under: uncultured bacterium
Lineage: Bacteria
Description: partial 16S ribosomal RNA
Rfam family: Bacterial small subunit ribosomal RNA
Source: RNAcentral